This 493-nucleotide ribosomal RNA is filed under the name uncultured bacterium. Its description in RNAcentral is "partial 16S ribosomal RNA". It matches the Rfam family "Bacterial small subunit ribosomal RNA", at positions 28 to 505 of the family's 1533-position model. The record is from RNAcentral.
GACGAACGCUGGCGGCGUGCCUAAUACAUGCAAGUAGAACGCUGAAGGAGGAGCUUGCUUCUCUGGAUGAGUUGCGAACGGGUGAGUAACGCGUAGGUAACCUGCCUGGUAGCGGGGGAUAACUAUUGGAAACGAUAGCUAAUACCGCAUAAUAGCAGUUAUUGCAUGAUAACUGUUUGAAAGGUGCAAUUGCACCACUACCAGAUGGACCUGCGUUGUAUUAGCUAGUUGGUGGGGUAACGGCUCACCAAGGCGACGAUACAUAGCCGACCUGAGAGGGUGAUCGGCCACACUGGGACUGAGACACGGCCCAGACUCCGACGGGAGGCAGCAGUAGGGAAUCUUCGGCAAUGGACGGAAGUCUGACCGAGCAACGCCGCGUGAGUGAAGAAGGUUUUCGGAUCGUAAAGCUCUGUUGUAAGAGAAGAACGAGUGUGAGAGUGGAAAGUUCACACUGUGACGGUAUCUUACCAGAAAGGGACGGCUAACUACG